UCGUGGAUUGAUUUGUCAGGUUGAUUCCGGUAACGGACGAGACCCCAACCUACUAACUAGCUCUGGUUGCUUGUGCAGCCAGCCAGCUUCUUAGAGGGACUCUCGGAAUGAAACCGAAGGAGGUGGGGCAAUAACA
Molecule: ribosomal RNA, 136 nt
Filed under: uncultured eukaryote
Lineage: Eukaryota
Description: partial 18S ribosomal RNA
Rfam family: Eukaryotic small subunit ribosomal RNA
Source: RNAcentral